Molecule: ribosomal RNA, 426 nt
Filed under: uncultured bacterium
Lineage: Bacteria
Description: bacterial SSU rRNA
Rfam family: Bacterial small subunit ribosomal RNA
Source: RNAcentral
GCGAGGAAUAUUGCACAAUGGAGGCAACUCUGAUGCAGUAACGCCGCGUGAGGGAAGAAGAUUUUCGGAUUGUAAACCUCUUUUUGUAGAGACGAGCGAGGACGGUAUCUAUAGAAUAAGUCUCGGCUAACUACGUGCCAGCAGCCGCGGUAAGACGUAGGAGGCGAGCGUUAUCCGGAUUCACUGGGCGUAAAGCGCAUGUAGGCGGUUGUGCAAGUCGUGUGUGAAAGUCCCCGGCUCAACUGGGGAAGGUCAUGCGAAACUGUGCGACUCGAGGGCAGGAGAGGAACGUGGAACUCCCGGUGUAGCGGUGGAAUGCGUAGAGAUCGGGAAGAACACCAGUGGCGAAGGCGACGUUCUGGUCUGCACCUGACGCUGAGAUGCGAAAGUGUGGGUAGCAAACGGGAUUAGAAACCCUAGUAGUCC